This is a long non-coding RNA of Oncorhynchus tshawytscha (Chinook salmon), 4531 nucleotides long. The record is from Ensembl. Lineage: Eukaryota; Metazoa; Chordata; Actinopteri; Salmoniformes; Salmonidae.
UUUCAUACAUAGUUUUAAUUAAAACAAUUACAUGACAACCAAAUAAAAAGGCUAAACAGCAUCAGACAGACAAAAAAAGGUAUUUGCAAUUUUUUUUUUUGCAUAUUGUUACCAAAUGAAUUUGUCAUUUGCAUCUUAUUAAUAAGUACGAUAUGCAGCCAACCACAAGAAGAGGUGCAGGGUUUGGAGAUUUUCGGAGGAAUUCUUACCUAGGCAAGCAGGCAUUCUUGUGGCAAAAUUGCAUGUUGUUCUCUGUCUGUAAACCUCUAGCUGUAAGAUAUUGAGAAGAAAUGUAUACAUGCAAGAGCAGUGGUUCUAAACAAAUAGAAUGCAUUUUUGUUUAGGCCUGGAAUAAAUGGUUGGGUUCACCAGAGUUACUUCCCAAAUGGCACUAUUCCAUCCAUCUAUAUAGUGCACUACUUUUGAUCAGAGCCAAUAUUAGUGCACUAUAAAAGAGAAUAGGGUGCUAUUUGGGACAUAACCAAAGGUGUUUGAAAGAAUUUAGCAUCAACAUGUGGCACAUGGUAUGCAAAGUGGCUCUCACAGGAUAGUAAUUCAAAAGAAGAGGUACUCUGGUCAAAAGUAGUGCACUAUAUAAGGAAUAUGGUGCCAUUUGGGAAGCACCCCCUGGUGUAACCCCAACAGCUAGUUGCUCAGAGCCUAAAGAUCACUUUGUUUAUUGCUGUUCACUUUGGGUAGAACACCAUCACUGAACAUCUAUCUACUAAAGGUUUAAACAAAGGGAACCAGGGUUGGAAAUCCCAUGCAUUACAGAAAACUAUUUUCCACCUGAGGAGGGUGGCAGUCUAAAAUAUCCACUAGUGUCAUGCCCAGUUAUUAAAUGCAACUUUUUUGGUUGUGUCAUGCGAGUGCCUGCCUACCUUACCAUCCCCAUAAGCAUUUUUGGUCCUGACACCUCAAAACUGGUUGGUUCUGCAUAUUAUUGUGUUCUUAUACUGUAUGUCAGUGUCACAAACAGACACCCAGGCACCCACACAAAAUUGGCAUGUAUCAAUAUAUACGUAUCAAUGUAGACAUAGGCAUAUUGCCCACAACGUUUUGAAAGUAAGAUCUCUUUGAUUUACUUGUUUUCAGCACCAUCAGGAAAAGGCACAGUCUACAGACUAUUCUGUCCAAGGAUAAAACCUUCACUCCUUCCACAAGAAAAACUUUGAGGGAUGCACACAGUCAAAUGUUGGAGGAAAUCAAUCAAAAUGUAGGUCACAGUCACUACAGGUUCUAGAAGACUAGGCUCUGUGAGAUGAAUGGAACCUACUGAAUGGAAGCUAGGCUACUCUCCAGAUAUUGUUAGUUCAUUGAACAGAGAGGAGGGUGAUGGGAAAUAGCAGGAGGUUCAUCCAAUCAGUCACAAGACAACAGCUGCCACAAAAAAAAACAAGCCCCCCCCCACACAGUAGGUUAUUUAAAUGCUGCAGAUGUAGCUUCGAUAUGACACGCUUUGCUUUAAAAGCUGCAAUAUGUAACUUCAUUGGCGACUCGACCAAAUGCACAUAGAAAUGUGAGUUAUAGAUCUGUCACUCAUUGAAAGCAAGUCUAAAAAGCGGUUGAUCUAUUCUAUGUGCACUUUUUCUAGGCUUCCCGUUCUUAAAUUUCGGGUUUACUUUCGGUUUUGUACACCAGCUUAAAAAAGCCAAAAAGCCAAUUUUUUUGGUUAUUAAAAAGAUAUUUCACAGCAGUUUAGAUGGUACAAUGAUUCUCUUGCUUGUUUUGUCACAAACUGAAAUUAGGGGAACUACUAGAAUUUUAACAACCAGGAAAUAAACGACAGUCUAUUGAAUUAUUACAUUUGGAUUAUUAUCAGUGACUAUAUCACUAUGGUCUUUAUUUCAUUAUUAUCGUCACAUUUGUUCUACUUUUCUAGAAUUUAUUAGCAAAAAUAAGUGGCUCAUUAUAUUAUUCCAUAUUUUAAAUAUACAAAUAUAUCUCCAUUUCGGAAUAAAAAAUGCAUUAGAAUAACAAAAGAAGGCAUCUGAUGUCCAACUUUUAGUGUGGGGGGGCAACACAUGAAGGAGCCUGGUUCAACCUCAAAUGCAACCAUACUUCCCUAUAGUGCACUACUUUUGCCAAGAGGUCUAUGGGUCCUGGUCAAAAGUAGCGCAUUAUAUAGCCAUGUAUUACCCCCCUACCUCAGAAUGAUGCUACGUUCGUAACCAAGUGGGAAUUUACCACAUACGACUGGGGAAAAUCCACUGGAAUGGCCCUCCAACUAGUAAUUACUAGUGUGAAAUUCGUCUAUCAAGCCGAUCUCACACAUGCUGACCUCUGACAUCACUUACUAAGGAAAUUACCUGUGCAACAAAACAUAAAACAAAACAAGUAUCUAUUAAUAUGGUUUUUUAACACUAAUUUGAUUGCAACCAUGAUCCAUUAUAUAUACAUAAAAGGUAUGUGGCCACCCCUUCAAAUGAGUGGAUUUGGAUAUUUCAGCCACACCCGUUGCUGACAGGUGUAUAAAAUCAAGCACACCGCCAUGCAAUCUCCAUAGACAAACAUUGGCAGUAGAAUGGCCUUACUGAAAAGCUCAGUGACUUUCAAUGUGGCACUGACAUAGGAUGCCACCUUUCCAACAAGUCAGUUCAUAACAUUUCUGCCCUGCUAGAGCUGCUCUGGUGAACUAUAAGUGCUAUUAUUGUGAAGUGGAAACGCCUAGGAGCAACAACGGCUCAGCCACGAAGUGGUAGGCCACAAAAGAGCACAGAAAGGGACAACCGAGUGCUGAAGUGCGUAGCGUGUAAAAAUAGUCUGUCCUUGAUUGCAACACUCAUUACCGAGUUCCAAACGGCCUCUGGAAGCACAAGAACUGUUCGUCAGGAGCUUCAUGAAAUGGGUUUCCAUGGCCGAGCAGCCGCACACAACCCUAAGAUCACCAUGCUUAAUGCCAAGCGUCAGCUGGAGUGGUGUAAAGCUCGCCGCCAUUGGACUCUGGAGCAGUGGAAACACGUUCUCUGGAGUGAUGAAUCGCUCUUCACCAUCUAGCAGUCCAACGGACGAAUCUGACCUCAACCCAAUCAAACACCUUUGGGAUGAAUUGGAAGGCCGACUGCGAGCCAGGCCUAAUCGCACAACAUCAGUGCCCGACUUCACUAAUGCAUACUUCACUAAUGCUAGUGGCUGAAUGGAAGCAAGUCCCCUCAGCAAUGUUCCAACAUUAGGUGGAAAGCCUUCCCAGAAGAGUGGAGGCUCUUAUGGCAGCAAAGGGAGGGCGUACUCCAUAUUAAUGCCCAUAAUUUUGGAAAGAGAUGUUUGACGAUCUGGUGUCCACAUAAUUUUGGUCAUGUAGUGUAGCUGUACUUUUAGUUUAUGGUUUACGCAGCUUGUUGGACAUUAGACAAAAUCGGCAUUUCUCAAUGAGUUAAAAGUGUGUGAAUGCCUCCAAAUGGUAUUUAUAACUUCACAACUGGUAAAUUCCCACCUUCCACUUGGUUACGAACACAGCACAAGCUCCCAAUGCUCUGCCUCCUAGAUGCAAAACCCGACCCACUGGCUCUAGAGGUCGAUUCCGUGGCAACGUGAGUGUAGAGCGAAUUCCUUCCUGUACUACUGCUGUACAGACUUAAAUUAUUCACACAAGCAGGGCAGUUACACAUUAGCCCACAGUUGCAGUGGAUCAGAUCCUACCUAUGCUGUUCAAGUAAAAUCAAAUGCUGGUAAUGUCUGACAUCUUGCAAGAAAGUAACAAUUUUAGCUGUGACAAUUCGCACAAACCCCAGGGGCGGAGCUGUAUUGUAUUGAUGUCCACAAACCGGUGUAAACCAUGUUAUUAAACAAUCGUACCCUCUGGGAAUUAAAGUAUGUCCCCUGUAUCAUAGUGAGAGAGUACUCUCUAUUGUUACUCCUGAUCCUUGAAAAACACCCAAUGAAUCUCAAUCUCUGACUACAAGAGACAGUCUGUCUACUAAACCCCCCCACAACAAACUGCAUCUCUCAGCACCAGGGCAUGUGUCUCACCUGAAACACAUGCAUCUUUAAGUGCAGUAAAUUGUCAUUCUUAUAGUCGCUUUGUACAAAUAUAUAUGAACAAAAUAAAAAUGUAGUAUAGCAGCUAGUUUUGUUCUGGUAACACGUGGCUAUAGGACAAUGAGUGUGGCAAAACAUCGGCCAUGCUACAACGCGGCUGCUUCUUUUGCAAAGGCAGUGAGAGCAGGGAUCAACUGUAUCCCAGUCAGACAAGGCCCAUACAAUCCAUUCCCCAAGCAGAUGACACCAGGCACGUUGGUUUGGUCCAAGUGGAACGAGAUGAAACUCAAAAGCCUCACCUGGAGGAUACUUCACAGCAAGGCAAAUGGAGAGACAAUGCCCCUCAAAUACAAUGUGACAAAAUGGCUUGAUAAAACUCUGAAAUAUGAAUGCUUACUUUUAACAGUGCAAAAUGAAUCCUACCACCAGUGUUAAAAUGAAUGAGACAGAUCCGUUAGCUAACUGUCCCCACCUUCAAUUGGUCAGUCUACAUACUCAAUAAUAAUUCACAUUAAAAACUAAAUCAUGAAACUGAAUCAAUGCAGCCACACCC